UAUAAUAUUCCUUGAUUCAUUUGAUAAUAUCAAUCUUUUGUCUUUGCUAGGAAGAUAAGAAGCACAAAACAAGACUAGGCUCCAGGCUUACAGUAAAUGAAACCAUAAAGAAAAUAGAAGCUGCAGCAAUGGAUUUAAGUCUGUCAGUUGAAAGGAGGAACAACUUCAAGGUCAAAUCUAGAAAAACCUGAUUCUUCAACAAAUUGUAUUUCUUUUAUUAAGAAAAAUAAAAUUAAUGCAUCUAUAGAAGAACUAAUGAUUAUACAACAUUAUAUCAGAUGACAAUGCAGCCAAAGACAAAGAUGACUAGAUGUACCAGAUCAUAUUAUGACCUAUCAGCAGAGGUAGUUAAUUGUCUAUAUAUGUAUUCCUAAAUAUAUCAAAAGAGAUCUCAUAAUUUUCUGUAAAAAUGUCAGGUAAUUGAGGUUGCUCCCACCAAUUGCGUUAUAGAAAUAUCAAAAUCAGCAGGAGAAGUAAGAUUGUAUUCAGAGGUACAGCUAGUUAAAAUUGAUUAUGUUAAAGCUUAGACAAAAAAAUGAAAAAGAAAAACAAAUGAAUAUGUCUGUUUGAUUAACGGUUAUUAUUUGAUGAUCAGUUCUGCAAAAGCUUAUCAAGUUUACUAACAGAGAAGUCAAAUGCACCAUUGCAAAUCCAAGAUUCAAAUGCAGAAAGCAUUACAAGUAACAAUAUCCAAGAAACAGGAAGGUAAGAAAUUAUCCAUGGCCAGAAUUGAAUGCAACUAUGAUGGAUUGCUACACUCAGCUAACUGAAACUUAUUAAUUAUACAGCACUGAGAAGCAAAAUGACUUUCGGGGAUAUUCAUCCUCUUGAAGCUACUUUCUCUCAACUCUAUACUCCAAAUGCCUAGUUUCUAAAGGUUGCUGAAAGAAAAAUAUGUGCAAAUACAACAGAAAAUUGCUAGUGCAGAACCAUAGUAGAAAAUGUGACAAGUGUUGCACAAUUCCAAGGCAUGAUUUAUAGCAGAAAAGGUGAAACGGGGUGUAAAGCUGUUUGCUUAUUCAUAUGCAACUGUGUGUUUCUCAAUUUUCCCCUCCUCUUUUUUUUUGAACCUCUACCAUCUCAGUCAAAGAUGUAAAGUAAAGGCCAGAAUUCUUCAUUAAUUUUUUUUGAAUGAGAUAAAUGGCCAAAAUUCUUCCUGUGCCUUUGUUUUGUGAAAUGUUAGCCUGAUUUUAUUUGUUCACAGCACAAAAUUACGUCAAAGAGAGAUCAUAAAGCAAAUAUGUACUAAUUGGAUACUCAAAGGAAUAUUUUCAUUAACCUUCUUAACUACUUCAAGAAACAAAUAAAGACUUGGUCAUCCUAAACCUACAACUUCUCUUACAGUUAAUGAAAAAUGAAGCAUGUAGAAUAAUUCAUGUGAGUCAGAAGAUACAAAUAUGGGCAAAUCUUACCAACUUACAUAUUAACCACAUUACCGCCUCUAAUUGAAUCUACUAGAUUAUCAUAUGUGGAUAAUAAUUAGAAUAAAUUGGCAACAAAUGCAAUGAUAAUCAUGUAAUAUGUGAAUUUGGGCCAAUGCGAAAGAGGACUCAAACUAUUCCAUGCUAGACAAGAUGAAAUGACUGCCCAACUUGACAUUUCGCAAGCUGGGUAUGAUAGUUACAAAUAUGAGAAUGAGAAUCCAUGAAACUUCUCUUGAACUUAUUUCAAUGGAAACCAUCAGUCAUAAAAUGAUUAAAAUAUAGGCAUUAAAUUUAGUCCAUAUACAAGAUAAUCAAUCUAUGCCUUGAUGAACAUUAAAGCAUAUGGCCCUGCAGCUUUGUAUAUGUUUUUAUCAAAAGAACGAUUAUCAACCUUCAAAUGCGCGUAUUGAACCUAUAUCUUAUCACAUUACCUGUGGCUUGAAAGUUUCCAAAUUUUUUAUAUAAGGCUAAAGUUGAAACAUUCAUAAAACUACAGGUAUUCAAGAUACGCAAAGGAAUAAAAUAGAAAAGGGAAUACACUGCCCAAGGAAAUAAAAGCUGAAGUAGCGAAGCUAUUUGGUUUUUCUUCAAGGAACUAGCAAAUUACUUGAAUAAAUUAAAUGAAAAUCAAAAUUCGUAUGCACAAGUAAAAAUUUUAAUAAUCUUUCCUCUCCAUUUUAAUUUGUAUUAAUAAAAAAGCCUAUGUAGGAAUUGAACCCACACCUUUUGUUCUAUUGCACAAUGCUCUAACCAUUUGAGCUAAUAGGCUAAGACAAAUACAGGAUAAAUCCAUGAAAACAUAUUAUUGAUUGUCAAUGAUAAAUAGAUGAAAACAUUGUUCUUCUAACCAAUAGAAUAAAUUGACUGUAGAAAAAACCCAGCUCUAAAUUGCAAUAGUUCCAAUAGUCAAGUCAAAAGAUCAAAAGAUAAGGAAACAAAUGAUAUCUAUACAAAAUCAAGAAUAGUUAUAUUACUACCCACAAAUCUACUCUUACUUAUCAUAAUCUUAAUUAUCACAAUCUUACUUAUCAUAAUCACUUUUAUUAUUAUAAUUAUUAUGAAUAAUAUUGACACCAUUGUAUUGCCCAGAAAAAAAAAAAUAUUGAUACCAACAAGCUAGAAAAGAUAUACUGACUAUUGGAUAGCGAUAUUGAAAUUAAAAAUAAAAUAAAAUAAAGAUUUGUAAUUAUUUACCUCAAGUCCUCAACUGAUGAAGCUGUUCUUCUAUGAAUUAUGAGACCUCCCUAACCAGAACUGAACAUCACAUUCACAACAAACGAACUUUGAGCUGUAUUAGUAUUCUCCAAAAUCCUACGGAAACAUUCAUUGAAGCUGAUAAUAUAUUGUCGUUCUUUUGCGACAACAUAUCGACGUUGUUUUCCUGCUCUGCGAUAGUAUAUUGACGUUCGACAUCCAUUGAAGGUGAGGUUGGUACUGAAAAUAGAAAAAAAAUCGAAAUUGCGAGAGUCGAACUCAAACCUACUAAUUUUGUUACGAAUUGUUGCGGAAUUAGUCAAAAUUUUAGGAAGAAUUUUGUGGUUUUGAUGGCUUCUCUAUUCAAUUUCACCGUUCCCGUCGAUGCUUUGUAGACAAUUUUGGGCCACCAUGGAUCGCGAAAGGCUUUGGCGGUGGCAGUGUCGCUGACUGGAACAAGCGCCUACAGAUAGGCUACUUAACGUCUCUCUCUCAUCCCUUUCUUUUGUCCGUCACAUUCUUUUGUGUUAUAAUUAGCAAGUUAUAGAUCCUUUGUUAGCUAAAUGCAAAAUAGUGUGCAGAAGAGUUUCUCUUAAAGCUAAUGUUAUUGUAAAUAAUUUUUAAACAUAUUAUACAUCCGUGUAUAAAAUUUUA
Molecule: long non-coding RNA, 3272 nt
Filed under: Jatropha curcas
Lineage: Eukaryota; Viridiplantae; Streptophyta; Magnoliopsida; Malpighiales; Euphorbiaceae
Description: long non-coding RNA (JCUR_LNC000508)
Source: RNAcentral